UUGCUUCAGCGGCACCUACACUAAAAUUGGAAUGAUACAGAGAAAAUUAGCAUAGCUUCCAUGCAAGAAUGACGUGAAAAUUUGUGGAACAUUCUAUAUUUAA
Small nuclear RNA from Peromyscus maniculatus bairdii (prairie deer mouse), 103 nucleotides. NCBI's taxonomy places the organism in Eukaryota, Metazoa, Chordata, Mammalia, Rodentia, Cricetidae. The record is from Ensembl.